This 27-nucleotide non-coding RNA is filed under the name Homo sapiens (human). Lineage: Eukaryota; Metazoa; Chordata; Mammalia; Primates; Hominidae. The record is from RNAcentral.
UUGGCACAUUACCUGCCUGAUGUGAAC